GAAAGUUCCGGCGGUACAGGAUGAGUCUGCAUCUGAUUAGCUAGUUGGUGGUGUAAUGGACUACCAAGGCGACGAUCAGUAGCUGGUUUGAGAGGAUGAUCAGCCACAAUGGGACUGAGACACGGCCCAUACUCCUACGGGAGGCAGCAGUAGGGAAUUUUGCGCAAUGGGCGAAAGCCUGACGCAGCAACGCCGCGUGAUCGAGACGCCCUUCGGGGUGUAAAGAUCUGUCAGUGGGGACGAAACUUGACGGUACCCACAGAGGAAGCACCGGCUAACUCCGUGCCAGCAGCCGCGGUAAUACGGGGGGUGCAAGCGUUGUCCGGAAUCAUUGGGCGUAAAGAGUUCGUAGGCGGCACGUAAAGUCUGGUGUUAAAGGCAGAGGCUCAACUUCUGUACGGCACUGGAUACUUGCGAGCUAGAAUGCGGUAGAGGUAAAGGGAAUUCCUGGUGUAGCGGUGAAAUGCUUAGAUAUCAGGAGGAACAUCGGUGGCGUAAGCGCUUUACUGGGCCGUAAUUGACGCUGAGGAACGAAAGCCAGGGUAGCAAAUGGGAUUAGAUACCCCAGUAGUCCUGGCCGUAAACGAUGGAUACUAGGUGUUGCGGGUAUCGACCCCUGCA
This 621-nucleotide ribosomal RNA is filed under the name uncultured bacterium. RNAcentral describes it as "bacterial SSU rRNA". It matches the Rfam family "Bacterial small subunit ribosomal RNA", at positions 202 to 842 of the family's 1533-position model. The record is from RNAcentral.